RNAcentral lists this long non-coding RNA (1033 nucleotides) under Homo sapiens (human). RNAcentral's name for it is "PREDICTED lncRNA (TCONS_00126474)". The record is from RNAcentral. Lineage: Eukaryota; Metazoa; Chordata; Mammalia; Primates; Hominidae.
GCCCUUUAGGGGAGAGAAGAGUGUGGAGGGAGGAAUCGGGGAAGCCCAGUGCCGUACUGAUGCUCUGGACUUUGUUUUUGGAGGUAGCCUGUGAUGCAGGGCAGAAAAGAGCUGAUGCCUUGGAGAGAGACUGGGAGAGGCUGGAGUUAAUAGAGGUGCCCACGCACCCAAAGGGCCAGCUCCUGCAUUUUUUCACUUCACCGAUGCCAAAGCCACUUUGCCCACCUUUGCAGCAGACGCAGGGAAUUAACUAUCUCAAGAAGUGGCCCUUAGUUAUUAACUGAUGGCAGCUGGUCCCAGGGUAUCCAAGAAGCUGUCAUCCAGGUCUUCUCCAAUGAAGCUACAACAACCCACAGAGCCAGCAGGGGAACCUACACCUUCGAUGUCAUAUAUGAGCAAACAGUCAUUAGAUGGGCGUCCUUCAUCUUCAUCUGCAUGGACUUAUUUAUAAUUGUGUACUUUGGACAUAAAACCAUACACAAAAAAAUCACAUGAAUUGGUUUCGAGGAGGAGCCAAGAUGGCCGAAUAGGAACAGCUCUGGUCUACAGCUCCCAGCGUGAGCGACGCAGAAGACGGGUGAUUUCUGCAUUUCCAUCUGAGAUGGAGUGAAUAUGAUGAUUCUGUGAAGGUUUAUUGCAACAUGACUUUUUCAGCACAGCAACAGGAAAAUUUGACUCUGGGUCUGUUCUACAAAAUUAAAGCUUUCUCAGCACAAAAAACAGCAUAGACUGUGAGUGAUGGCGGCCAUCUUGGUUCAUGUGUAAAGACUGAAUUUCAGUGACUACCAACGGCUAUUUCUUAGAAUGUGGCACUUACCCUGGGUUCAGGCUGUGGUCCUUCUACUGCCCAUGAAUGAAUUGCUCCAUCUGAACAUUCGGGAACAGGCUCAAAGCCAGCUGCACUACGAGGAGCACCUCCACAAUCACAACAGAUCAUCAAAAAUGGGACCACUGGUGGUGGAGGGAUAGUAAUACUAGAGUUAGCACUGGGUGCAAAUAAAAAACAAAACAACCUGAUUUUUUAUGGUUAAAU